GGAUGAGGGUAGCGUGCUGCUGCGCGACCCCUGUCCUCAAAAACAAAUCAGUCAGCUACACAUGUAGAUCUGCCCGGAAAAGGCUUGCGGACGGGGGUUCGAUUCCCCCCGGCUCCACCA
RNAcentral lists this transfer RNA (120 nucleotides) under Rhizobacter sp. SG703. Its description in RNAcentral is "tRNA-OTHER". It matches the Rfam family "transfer-messenger RNA", at positions 254 to 374 of the family's 374-position model. Rfam says of the family: Bacterial tmRNA, also known as 10Sa RNA or SsrA, is named for its dual tRNA and mRNA-like properties. Its role is to liberate the mRNA from a stalled ribosome. The record is from RNAcentral. Lineage: Bacteria; Pseudomonadati; Pseudomonadota; Betaproteobacteria; Burkholderiales; Sphaerotilaceae.